Molecule: long non-coding RNA, 1006 nt
Organism: Paramisgurnus dabryanus
Lineage: Eukaryota; Metazoa; Chordata; Actinopteri; Cypriniformes; Cobitidae
Source: RefSeq, a predicted model, not a curated record
AUUAUUUGCUAACCAUUGUAGAAUUGAGGACUCUGCUGAACAUUGAGAAAAAAUACCGUAUUGGGAGAAGAUGGCAAGAGUCUGAUUCAAACUUCCAGUCUACCCUUAAAGAUGUGGACCGUGAGCUCAGAGUCCAACUUCAAGGCUAGAACUGAAUCAAGGGAGAGAGCAGUCCUCCUCCACCUGAGAAGAAUAUAUCCAGCUUUGCUUCAGAUGGGCAGGGCAUUGCCAUUAGACUCUCCAAGCAGGUAGCCAGCUCCAACAAUAGACUGAGACAGGCAACAAAAGAAUACAACAGCAUUCAAUGGUCACCGCAGAUGAGCUUCUUACCUGCGACAAUUGAUUUUCAGGAAUCAUGUGAUCCCUCUUGGCAUGUCUACUUCUGCUUUGAUGACACUAUUGAAGAAGAUGAUGUUUCGAGGAGGCGAGGGAUUGAUGCCUUACAUAUGAAGACUCAUGCAAAAGCUGCUCUCAUUCAACACCUCCAACAGCUGGAAAGAAAACUACAUCAAGCCAUUGUGAUGUUUCACCCACAUGUAUCAGACUUUGUUCCUGCAGACAACCCCCACUUGUGUCAGGCCCUCCCCAUGCCAAGCAUACAGACACUGGUAUACAAUGAUAAGAGUGAUAAUGACAAUGUGGAUAAAUAUGUUAACUAGCACUACAGAUUUUUUUUUAAUUUCUAGUCUGAUAUUGUAUUCUGUAAAAAGAAUGAUGUAAAAUGUAUAGUAUAUGUUGCAGCAUAUCAUAGAAACCUUGGUGGUGUAAUAUAAUGUUUGCCUUACUUGUGCAAACAUGAUGUUUUACUAGAUCUGAUUUAUUUUUAAACGUAGUUACUGUUUUUAAGCACACAUAUUCACACUAGUCUGUGUGAGGACAAAAUUGUGUGUUUACCAUUGUGAUGUUACUUAUUUACUGUAAUGUACAAAUGUGGUCAAUGUGUGUAAGGUGUUUUGUUUUUGUGUGCUAAGUUGAAAUGACAAAGUAUUGAAUCUUGAAUCCUUUG